GAUGAAGAACGCAGCGAAAUGCGAUACGUAAUGUGAAUUGCAAAUUCAGUGAAUCAUCGAGUCUUUGAACGCACAUUGCGCCCCCUGGUAUUCCGGGGGGCAUGCCUGUCCGAGCGUCAUUGCUGCCCUCAAGCACGGCUUGUGUGUUGGGCCCCGUCCUCCGAUCCCGGGGGACGGGCCCGAAAGGCAGCGGCGGCACCGCGUCCGGUCCUCGAGCGUAUGGGGCUUUGUCACCCGCUCUGUAGGCCCGGCCGGCGCUUGCCGAUCAACCCAGAUUUUUAUCCAGGUUGACCUCGGAUCAGGUAGGGAUACCCGCUGAACUUAAGCAUAUCAAUAAGCGGAGGA
This 345-nucleotide unclassified non-coding RNA is filed under the name soil metagenome. Its description in RNAcentral is "partial contains 5.8S ribosomal RNA, internal transcribed spacer 2, and large subunit ribosomal RNA". The stretch from base 1 to 119 matches the Rfam family "5.8S ribosomal RNA", at positions 35 to 154 of the family's 154-position model. The record is from RNAcentral.